Molecule: transfer RNA, 73 nt
Filed under: Neotoma lepida (desert woodrat)
Lineage: Eukaryota; Metazoa; Chordata; Mammalia; Rodentia; Cricetidae
Rfam family: tRNA
About the family: Transfer RNA (tRNA) molecules are approximately 80 nucleotides in length.
Source: Rfam by way of RNAcentral
GGAGCAAUGGCUUAGUGUUUAAGAGCACUGGUUNUUCUUUCAGAGGACCUGGGUUCAAUUCCCAGACCCUCCA